CUUGCGUAAUCCGAAAAGCUUACAGAUUAGGAG
Molecule: non-coding RNA, 33 nt
Filed under: Chryseobacterium gleum ATCC 35910
Lineage: Bacteria; Pseudomonadati; Bacteroidota; Flavobacteriia; Flavobacteriales; Weeksellaceae
Source: RNAcentral